Molecule: transfer RNA, 69 nt
Filed under: human gut metagenome
Also listed under: 2 other names
Rfam family: tRNA
About the family: Transfer RNA (tRNA) molecules are approximately 80 nucleotides in length. Their secondary structure includes four short double-helical elements and three loops (D, anti-codon, and T loops).
Source: RNAcentral
AUCUGUAGCUCAGUGGAUAGAGCAAUGGCCUCCGGAGCCGUGUGCGUAGGUUCGAUUCCUAUCAGAUGC